GCCGCUGCUCCGGCCGCCACCGUGGGGUCCCGGCCGCCGCCACCCCGCCGGGGAGUCGGGCUGAAGGAAGUCGCGGUGCUCCGGCGCCGGUGGGACCGGUGGCAGCGGCGGUGGCGGAGGCGCGGACACGGACGGCGAGGCCGGGCGGCCGCCGGGACGCGGGGCGGAACGCGGGUCACUGCAGUCCGGGCGCAGCGGUGGAAGCGCCGCCUCUGCUCCGGCGCCCGCCGCUCUCCAUGGAGCCCGCCGCUGCUCACAGCCACUCCUUGCUUGCACCCGCAGCUGCCGCCGCCGCAGCCGCCGCUGCCGCCCGGGGAAGAGCGCGGCUCGUGGCUCGUGCCACGCGGAGGCAGUUGGAAGCGCCGGUGCAGACCGGGCAGAAACGCCGAGGACCGUUUUUUUGGAGACUUUUAAUGAUCUAAAUUUAUUUUUGCAUUGUGAGAUAGAUAUGAGAUUUUAGGAGCUAGAAAUGAAAUGUUAUGACUUAAAAGUGAUAUGUUUGUGUGUUUAGUUGACAAGGAGUGGACGUGUGAUAGUUAAUCAUGAUCUUCAUUGUCUGAUAGACUAGAUUUAGAAUCAACUAAGAGCUGUGCUCCUGGAUAUGUCUGUGAGGGUGUUUCCAGAGAGUUUUAUUUGAGCAAAGACCCACCCUACAUGGGAUGACACCAUCCCAUGGUCUGAGGUCCUAGGCUGAAUAAAGAUGAACAAGGGAGAAGGUAAAACCAGCACCAGUAUUCACCUCUUUCUGCUUCCUAGCUGUGGAUCCAAUGUGGCCAGCCACCCCACACUCUACUACUCCACUAUCAAAGGCCUAAGUAGCCCUAUGACAAGGGUCAGACUCCUUCCUCCAUCUUCACUCUAACACUGGAAAAGGUCUCCAUUCCUGGACCGUGGAGAGAAAUGCUAGGGACAAGAUGAACCUACAUCAAGACUCAUGGACAGUUGUCUGAAAUACACAGGUGCUUCUCUUUUAACCUGCAUGGUAUUUGUUGAAGUUAAAACUAAAUGUCAACAUUUUAAAAUUCAGAAAUUUUAAAUAAGACUUUGUGUAGGCAUAAAUUUUUUGCAACCUACUUUUAAUAAGGGUUUAACCUCUCCUCUACCCACCACCCAGCAGACGUUGUGGAAGAGAAAAGUUAUUAGGGUAUGGGGAGUGGACUUGUUCAGCAGUAGUUCUUUGGGGGUGAGCUCCAUCUUCUUUGGCAGUAGUUCAGUCCCCUAGCAAACCCCAAAUAUGACUCAGCAGUUGCAGUUCAGUCCUCUAGGCAGACAGACACUAGGCACGAACCAGCAGCUACAGUCCAGUCCUUCCAGCAAGCAGACACCAGGCACAAACCGGCAACUGUAGUUCAAUCCUGAAAAACCCGCCAGGCUCACCAAUAGGCCUAAGGCGAGGCUGCAGAAGUGGCAAGCUGUUGUAGGAACUUCAGGAGCAGUUCUUGGGUGAGUUUCUCUCAAGGUUGGAGUUAUCACAAGUUGAGCUCAACAACGCUAUGUAAGGUGAACCAAUACGUAUGUGUCUUUAAAGAAGAACAGCAAGGCAGAGCAAACCAAGCCAAGGCUCAGGGCUCGUCCCUCACUGUCUGUGGGGUCACAUUUAUACUCCUUCAUCAAGCACCCUUUUACGUGUUUGCUAUAUCAAAACAUUCUUUCACCUGUGCCUGCUUCAGGAAAACAUCAUUUGACAUAACUUUCCAAAGAACUAGAAGUUUCCACUUCAAGUCUGAGUUUUCAGUCAUUUUGAGGGAGUGCUGGGUAUCAACACGUGUAGACAAGCAACCUACCACUGAACUUCACCUUGGACUUCUUGGAACAAUGAGCCAACAUUCUGGCAUGGCUGUCUUCAGAGGAGCUGGAUGCUCGUUGCUUCCUGAGGGUGAGGACAGUCUUCUCGGUCAGCCUGAGAAUCUCUAAUUACUGAGUAAUCUCUAAUUACUUGUUUACCCGCUCCUGUAUACUGAGCCUCUCCCAGAGCACCCAAGUCCUAAUUAUGGGAGUAGUCAAGAUUUCUUUUAGAUGGUGGCGGAACAGAGAGAAGGCAAGCCCUAGGCUUGAAUCUGAAUAGAUGAAGUUAAGUGAGCUUCCCUUAUUCUAGUUUUCCUGUUUUAAAUGUCCCCCAUGGGCUGCUCUGGGCAGUGGGAGGAAGGGUCUUAAUCAUACAGUGCAGGGAAAGGUCAGUCUAGCUUAAAAAACUCCUGAGAGCAUUGUUUCUCCUAAUUCUUGAGAAAGAUGGGCUUACCUGUGUACGAUGUCCAACACAUCAAUAAUAACUAUCAAAUGA
Molecule: long non-coding RNA, 2281 nt
Organism: Mastomys coucha (southern multimammate mouse)
Lineage: Eukaryota; Metazoa; Chordata; Mammalia; Rodentia; Muridae
Exons: 2
Source: RefSeq, a predicted model, not a curated record